UAAUUAUUAACAGAAGAUGUGGAGAUAUAGAAGAAACUAGAAAAUAUUUCACAAUCAACACAUCUUUCAGGCAGCCAAUCAUUUGUCACUCAUAUUGCUUUUUCAAACCCGGCAUUACAUGGAAGGAGUAAAUGGAACUCCAGUUUGGUUUUGCUGCUUCUUUUUUUUUUUUUUUUUUUUCUGUUAAGGCAGAUUUUAAUUUUUUGUUGUUUACUUUUCAUUGAAUUUUGUCAGUUCUUGGUCAAAUAUAUGUAUGUGUGUGUUUUUUAAAGAGGUCAUGCCUGUUUCUUUAAUGAACUAGAAGUAUAUAUUAUAGAAUGUUAGAAUUGAAAGGGACCCCGAAGAUGAUCUAGUUCACCCUUCCCAUUUGACAGUUGAGGAAACACCUUGUUUGGCAUUUAUUUACUUUAGGGGAAGUUGGGGCACUGCCAAAAUUAACACUGCCUGCUUUGACUUUUCACUGCUUGACAGACAAACACUAGGUUGGGGGAUAUAGACAAACAGAGACUAAAACAAGCAACAUUAUGCCAUCGGCCAUCAAUCUGGUUGUUGUGUUAUUCUUCCCCAAAAUAAUUUCAAGUCAACUAUAGACAUAGACACUUGAAUUGUAUUAAUUAAUUUAUUAAAUAAAAAUGGCUGAUAUUUUGCUUAUUAAAAAUCUGAUUCUUUCUUUGGCACCUGGUUGGAUAAGCAAGUCAAAUGUUAACAACCUGAGUACAAUAGUCUAUUACAAAACAGUGAAUCAGCGCCCUCUAGCACAUUUCUGAGUCACUACUUUUUAAAAAAACCUUUACAACAAUGUAACUGAAACUAAAACAUUCUAAACACUGUGCUGGGCUUUUCAUACUAUCUCAUUUUUAAUUCUCAUAAAGUUGUACAACAUAACUUGAGACAGCUCUGUAAGUAGAUAAAGAUAAUAUGCAGUGUAGUGAGGGCUGCUUCGUGUGUGGGAAGAGAGCUGUGGGCAGAGAGCAGCUGACUCUACCCAGGGAAGCAAUGAUGAAUGAGAAAAGGCCCUGAAUCCCUGGGAGCUCCCAGCAUAGUAGGAGAGACAGAUCCCUGGAAAGGAACGUUGCAAUAGGCAUGUCAAGAACUAUUGCACAGUUAUUUCUUUUUAAAUGGUAUGAGAGAAAAAAAAAAAAAAAGAAA
Long non-coding RNA from Macaca fascicularis (crab-eating macaque), 1149 nucleotides. The record is from Ensembl. NCBI's taxonomy places the organism in Eukaryota, Metazoa, Chordata, Mammalia, Primates, Cercopithecidae.